CUGACAAAGGGCUAAUAUCCAGAAUCUACUACACACUUUAAAACAUGAAUUUAUUACAGUUUUGUAGGUCAGAAAUCCAACAGAAGUUGCUUGAGGCUAAAAUCAAGGUGUCCACCGGGCUGUGUUACUUUCUGGUUGUACUAAGAGAAAAUCUGUUUCCUUGUCUUUUCCAGCUUCUAGAGCCUGCUCACAUUCACUGAUUUGGGGUCUCUUUCCUCCAUUUUCAAAGCUAGCAAUGUAGCUUUGAUGAUGCUUUUGUUGUUAUAUGUUUUUCUCUGACACUCCCUCUUCUAUUUCCCUCUUUUUUGAAUGAUCCUUGUGAUUACACUGGACCCAUUGGAUAAUCCAAGAUAAUCUCUCUAUUUUAAGGAUUUCCCUCUCUGGUUGUUUUGAGCCUCAAAAUUUAUGCACGAUUUGGAAUGCAGACGUAAAGCAGCAACUAUAUUUUUUUUAUUCAUGGAAAGUUGGAGCAAGGCAGGUGGCACUGUUGCAGCUCACACACACUGUUGCUAAUUUGCUGGUCACCCUGUGAGCAUGAGGCGGCAUCUGAGUUCAUUACUCCACCAGCCAGACUUCCUCUUUACUUUGUGCUGAAUCCUUGGCCAGGUGAAUACUGAAGCUUCAAAAGAAAGAAGAUAGGCAAGACUCAAUUCCAAGCCUUGAGCCAACGUCCUGGGGAAGAAAACUGUAUCUAAGGGAUCCAGAGGCAGACAACAGAAGUUAAAAGGCACAGUGCAGGUCACUCCCCUCAGAUGCAUCCUCCAAACUGGAAAGUGCUAAUUUCCCAAACCAUAAACUGGUUGGCUUAAUUAAGAUUGGGCUGAGGUGAAGGGAACCCAGAAGCCCAACAUGUCGGCAAAAGGAAAACAAGUAAACCAACUUGCUGGAAGUAUGUAUGUUUCAUAUUUUGAAUAAAAUUUGGAUUAUUUAUCAGAA
This is a long non-coding RNA of Symphalangus syndactylus (siamang), 936 nucleotides long. RefSeq lists it as uncharacterized. The record is from RefSeq and is a predicted model, not a curated record. Lineage: Eukaryota; Metazoa; Chordata; Mammalia; Primates; Hylobatidae.